RNAcentral lists this ribosomal RNA (428 nucleotides) under uncultured bacterium. Its description in RNAcentral is "bacterial SSU rRNA". It matches the Rfam family "Bacterial small subunit ribosomal RNA", at positions 354 to 796 of the family's 1533-position model. The record is from RNAcentral.
GUCGAGAAUCUUCCGCAAUGGGCGCAAGCCUGACGGAGCAAUGCCGCGUGAGGGAUGAAGGCCUUCGGGUUGUAAACCUCUGUCGCCCGGGACGAAGAAUGUGACGGUACCGGGAGAGGAAGCUACGGCUAACUACGUGCCAGCAGCCGCGGUAAUACGUAGGUAGCGAGCGUUAUUCGGAUUCACUGGGCGUAAAGGGUCCGCAGGGGGCCUGCCAAGUCGGUUGUGAAAGCUCAAGGCUCAACCUUGAAAUGUCAGCCGAAACUGGCGGGCUUGAGUGCACGAGGGGAAAGUGGAAUUCCUGGUGUAGCGGUGGAAUGCGUAGAUAUCAGGAGGAACACCGGCGGCGAAGGCGGCUUUCUGGCGUGCAACUGACCCUCAGGGACGAAAGUGUGGGUAGCAAACAGGAUUAGAAACCCCAGUAGUCC